Molecule: ribosomal RNA, 460 nt
Filed under: uncultured bacterium
Lineage: Bacteria
Description: partial 16S ribosomal RNA
Rfam family: Bacterial small subunit ribosomal RNA
Source: RNAcentral
CCUACGGGAGGCAGCAGUGAGGAAUAUUGGUCAAUGGGCGAGAGCCUGAACCAGCCAAGUCGCGUGAGGGAUGACGGUCCUAUGGAUUGUAAACCUCUUUUGUAGAGGAGUAAAAUGCGGUACGUGUACCGUAUUGAGUGUACCUUGUGAAUAAGUAUCGGCUAACUCCGUGCCAGCAGCCGCGGUAAUACGGAGGAUGCGAGCGUUAUCCGGAUUUAUUGGGGUUAAAGGGUGCGUAGGGGGGCGAGUAAGUCAGGCGUGAAAGUUUGGGGCUCAACCCUGGAAAAGCAGUUGAUACUGGCAGGCUAGAGUAGGGGAGAGGUAGGCGGAAUGCGUGGUGUAGCGGUGAAAUGCGUAGAUAUCACGAAGAACUCCGAUUGCGAAGGCAGCAUACCAGAGCGCAACUGACACUGAGGCGCGAAAGCGUGGGUAUCAAACAGGAUUAGAUACCCGGGUAGUC